AGAUAAUCCAGAUGUUAUAAUAGGAAGGAAAAACAACUCCAGUUAAAUGUGACUGUGGCGACUCCCUUUUAUGUAUACAUUUAAAUGCAUAGUUGCAGAGGACACAUCCCUCCCCUUCUGUCUCCCUAACUUGAACUGUAGACCGUCCUCACUGGGAAGAGUAAGGCCCCACAUUUUGUGCAAUAGCAAGCUACUGCCCACUUCUGCAUGUCUGCUACGAGAUCAGAAAGUCAGUUUCACUAAGGUUGUCUUUUAGCUGAAUACUUAGAGUAAAACCAAUCAAAUCCAUUGUACAUACCUGACCAUAUGUCCCAGAUAAAAAGGAAAGACUUGCGUGAUGUUUUUUUCCUUCUGAGUGCCCUGAGGAGAUCCUUUUGCUUCAGACUAUUUCUAAUUUUUCUUUGUUUAUAGGUUCAGAAUUUUUUCCAUGAUUGUUUUCCCCCAAACAAGUGCAUUUUUAAUUACUUUAAAUGCAGGGGUGAUAGAGGAAAUGCUAUUCGAACCAUAGACAUCUUUAAUCUGUGAAGCUGAAAUUUUUCAGCAAAGGAAAUUGCAUGGUCAAGUUCAGAAACUGGCCAUUAAUUUCCCCCUUCCGCUCCACAGUUCAUAGCUACUCUUGUUGCAAACAUGUAGUGAUAAGGAGAACUAACGUAUCAAGGGGCUGAGAGGGUAACGUUCCCCUCCUCCUCCAUGUUUUUAUUUUGGUGUCUGUUUUGUUUCUAGCACUGUAUUUAGUACUGUAGUUGAAUGAGGUAUGAUGUCUCCCUUCAAGGAACUCAGAAUGGAACAGAAGCAUGAGCAAAAGAUUGUAUUACAGAGGUAUGAAUAAAAUGCCAUGGGGAACACAGAGAAAGGUUCACCCGGGAGAGAUGGCCUAGCCACUUCCUUAGUGACUGUUUGGUAUAUGUAGGUCCCCCUGCCAUUACUCUUUCAGCCUUCUGCAAUCUAGUUCUACUUAGUCACACACUUCUCUAAGACCACUCAUACGUAAACACUACGUAGAGGCCCCUUUUUGCCUCAUUUUACAUUGUUUAGUUAUCAUUUUGAAACUUUUCUUCACAUAUGUAACAGUGCCGGAGUUUUUCUGCUUCUCUGUGUUUGUUCAGUAACUCUUCUUUAGGAUACACCUAAAGAUGAGAAGCUUCAUACCCAGUACUCCUCUUCAUUCACUCAUAUGUUUUUGGGAUCAGUCCCUUCUGCUGGCUGUGCAUUGGUCUAAUGGAACAGAAUAGAGUCCAGAAAUAACCCAACAUGUAUGUGGACAACUGGUUUUUGACAGAGGUGCAAAGGUCUUGAAAAAAUGAUGCUGGAAUAAUUGGGCAUCAGAUGCAAAAUUAAAAACAAAUUGAUCCAUAUCUUAACACUGGCAAAGAUUAAAGUCCAAAUGGAUUAUAGUUCCCCAAAACUGUAUAAUUUCUAGAAGACAACAAGGAAAACGUGUUCAGCCUUGGGUUAGGAAAAGAUUUCUUAAAUCCAACACCAAAAGCACAAUCCAUGAAGGAAAAAUCGAUAAAUUGUACUUUAUCAAAAUUGAGAACUUCUCUUUGAAAGGUACCAUAAGGAGAACAAAAAGACAAGCUGUAGAGUGGCAGAAAAAUAUUUGCAAAACAUUUCUGAUAAAUGAGUUGCAUCUAGAUUACAUAAAGAAGUCUCAAAACUGAACAAGUAAACCCAUUGUUUACUUAAUCGCUGUUUCUCCUGAGCUUGCUGCCUCUGCCCCUGCUCUCUCUCCUUUUCCAUUUGUUUUCAACAUUGAAUCCAGAAUGUUCUUCUUGAGAUCCAAGUCAGAUCACACCAACCCUCAGAACUCUCCAAUAGACGACCAUGGCACUCAAAAGUCCACAAUAGCCUUCAAUGCUGGGCAAAACAUGAAGCACCCCUUUUCUCCCUUCUCUGACCCCAUCACCUCUGUGUUCACCCUGCUCCUGCCGUCCUCCCUGCCUCCAAAACAGGUCAGGCCUUCGUGCCUUUGCACUUACUAUUUGCAAUACCCAAAUGUUCUUCAGGCUCUUUAGCCUCUUCAUUUCUUUCCUGAAGUGUCAUUCUCACUGAGGCUUAUCUAAAGCUGCAGCUACUGGGGCAUUCCUGUCUCAUCUCCCUGCUGUAUUUUGUACUCCCGGCUCUCUUUUGUACUUUUAAACAUACUAUAUGGUUUACCUUUGUUGUUUAUAUUUGCAUGUUGUUUCCCACUUGAAUGUAAGCUCCAAAGAUUUUAUUUUUUUAAACUGAAUUAUUACUGUAUUCCCAGAACAAUUCCCUGGCAAAUAUUUGGUACUCAAUAGUAAUGCUAAGUUAGUAAAUAAAUGAUGAAUUUAGAAUCAAAAUAAUGUGUCUAUGGCCAAAAUAAAACCUGAAAUCCCUGUCCUAUUUCCCAGAGGUAACUGCUGUUAAUAGUUUAGUUGUGUGCUUCCAGACAUACCUUCACAGAAUCAUUUAUCACAAUAAAGGUGUCAUACUAUGCAGAUUGUUUGACAAGAUGCUUUUUUUCACUUUACACGGGCAUCUUUUCAUACCAUUGUGUGGCCAGGCCAUGAUUUGUUUUCCAAAAGACAUUUACCCAAUUUAUAUGGUGAAGAUUUUUGUCCAUAUUACUUUUUAUAGUAUUUCUGUAGGGUAAGUUCCCAGAAGUAAUAUUGCACGAUCAUCGAAAAAUUUUAGUGUUACAUUACUGCCCCAUAAAGGUACUAAUUAACAUCCCUCUCAACAACAUAGAAGAUUCCUUUUUUUUUUUUUCUUUUU
This 2739-nucleotide long non-coding RNA is filed under the name Homo sapiens (human). Its description in RNAcentral is "non-protein coding lnc-MARCH6-3:2". Lineage: Eukaryota; Metazoa; Chordata; Mammalia; Primates; Hominidae. The record is from RNAcentral.